CGGGAGUAAUCCCGUAGGGAAUGUAGCGAAUGCCGAACCCGGAA
This 44-nucleotide non-coding RNA is filed under the name Methanococcus voltae A3. The record is from RNAcentral. Lineage: Archaea; Methanobacteriati; Methanobacteriota; Methanococci; Methanococcales; Methanococcaceae.